This 72-nucleotide transfer RNA is filed under the name Camelus bactrianus (Bactrian camel). It matches the Rfam family "tRNA". Rfam says of the family: Transfer RNA (tRNA) molecules are approximately 80 nucleotides in length. Their secondary structure includes four short double-helical elements and three loops (D, anti-codon, and T loops). Further hydrogen bonds mediate the characteristic L-shaped molecular structure. tRNAs have two regions of fundamental functional importance: the anti-codon, which is responsible for specific mRNA codon recognition, and the 3' end, to which the tRNAs corresponding amino acid is attached (by aminoacyl-tRNA synthetases). tRNAs cope with the degeneracy of the genetic code in two manners: having more than one tRNA (with a specific anti-codon) for a particular amino acid; and 'wobble' base-pairing, i.e. permitting non-standard base-pairing at the 3rd anti-codon position. Lineage: Eukaryota; Metazoa; Chordata; Mammalia; Artiodactyla; Camelidae. The record is from Rfam by way of RNAcentral. RNAcentral also lists the same sequence under 2 other names.
GAGGGUACAGCUCAGUGGUAGAGCACACGCCUAGCACGCAUGAGGUCAAGGGUUCGAUCCCCAGUACAUCCA